Molecule: ribosomal RNA, 137 nt
Filed under: uncultured bacterium
Lineage: Bacteria
Description: partial 16S ribosomal RNA
Rfam family: Bacterial small subunit ribosomal RNA
Source: RNAcentral
UGAGGAAUAUUCGGCAAUGGGGGCAACCCUGACCGAGCAACGCCGCGUGGAGGAUGACGGUUUUUGGAUUGUAAACUCCUUUUCUCAGGGAAGAGUGAGGACGGUACCUGAGGAAUAAGUCACGGCUAACUACGUGC